This is a long non-coding RNA of Papaver somniferum (opium poppy), 1533 nucleotides long. RefSeq lists it as uncharacterized. The record is from RefSeq and is a predicted model, not a curated record. The transcript is spliced from 5 exons. NCBI's taxonomy places the organism in Eukaryota, Viridiplantae, Streptophyta, Magnoliopsida, Ranunculales, Papaveraceae.
GUCAUCUUUAUAAUAUGCAAACUUGCAGAGAGUCAGAGAUUCUUUCUAAACUUAAAGUCAGAUUUUUUCCAUUACGUUUCCUGCUUCGACAUAGCUACAAUUCCCUUUCCCCUCAACUCCCUUUACCCUCAACCUUAAAUUCUUUCUAUGGCAAUCAAACUAAACAAAAAUGAAAAGGAGCACCAGUUUGACUGAUAUUAGAAGAAACAAAAAAUGGGAAGGAGUUGCAUCCCCAUAUCAUCUCACAUUUGCCAAUCAAGAAGGUAAUUUGAUGGAAUUAAAUUUUCCUUCUCUGUUGGGUUCAUCGUUUUUUCUGUGUAUUUUGAAGACUGAAAGAGAAAUUGAUCCAUUACGGUGAGAACCAACAUUUAGUCCUACGAGAAUUUUAUUCUGUUGGUUUUAGGGUUGAUUUAUAAUGGGUUUGAGAUGAAAUUUUGCUAAUUAAAUUGGUUUCUUAAGGGUCAGAGGGUUGAUUUUGCAGUGUAUUAAGAUCCCUCUUACUUACCAAACUGGAGCAGGGAAAUUGUCAUACAGUUCACUUAUGUGAAUUCUUGGAAUUUGUCCUUGUUAGUGAUUACGGUGGAAAUGAGCUUUAACAGAUUUUUACAUUCAUGUUGAAUAUCUGAUACACUGGAUUGCCUGGAAAUUAACAAAAAGAAGUGGCAGCUUUGCAGGAAAGGCAAUCAGAGCAUGUGAGUAAAGGCAAAACAAAGUGGCGGCUUUCCAACAAAGGAAAUUUGAGCAUGUAAGUAAAGGCAAAAAGUACUUGCGGCUUUGCAGCAAAUGCAAUCUGAUCAUGUUGCAAGUCAAGAGGCAUAUGAAACAUUGGGGCAAUAGUAAGGAGUCGUAGAGGCAAACAUAAAAUUGGAUUCUUGAGUUGAUCUUGACUACCCAAAAUAGAAGAUGUUUCAUCCACUGCCUCCUAGCCUUGGACCUGGGGUAUAUCUUGGAGCAGUGGAAAAGGAAUCAUCUUUCAUUGGAGACAUCUUUAGUAUGACGCCCUUGCUGGAACAAUCCAGAGACAUUUGUUCGAGCUGAUGGGCCUUCAUUGCUUUUGCUGAUGUUUUAGAGAUCUCCAAUGUGACUAUGACUGUGAAGGUUGUAGGACAGAUUGGGGAUGUUAAGAUUAUAUAGUUGCAGUCGCCAAUCAACAGCCUCACUGGGAAGGAAGUGGUGAAGGUUGGAAGAAGCUCCAACUUGACUACUGGGACAAUAACCAACAAACUUUUCUUGUUGGGUGAGAACCAACAAACUUUUCAUACUGAAGGGGACAGUGGGAGGAGCGAAGACGAAAAAACAUACUCUGGUAGUUACGUUUUUUUUGGUUCAUAGUGUGCUAAUUUUGUUUAGUGGACUAAACACUUUACUUUCAGAAUUGGUAAUGAUGUAUUUUUAACAUUUGUCAGUUUCCCUUUGUGUGAUAUCACCCAAGUACUAUCCAAUAUAAUAAACUGGUAAAAUUGCAAAACUGUAGUAUAUAAUAAACUGGGUACAAAUUAAGAUGAUCAUAUAAAAUAAAUUUGGUCCAAUACU